RNAcentral lists this ribosomal RNA (365 nucleotides) under uncultured organism. Its description in RNAcentral is "bacterial SSU rRNA". It matches the Rfam family "Bacterial small subunit ribosomal RNA", at positions 526 to 896 of the family's 1533-position model. The record is from RNAcentral.
CGGAGGAUCCAAGCGUUAUCCGGAAUCAUUGGGUUUAAAGGUCCGUAGGCGGUUUAGUAAGUCAGUGGUGAAAGCCCAUCGCUCAACGGUGGAACGGCCAUUGAUACUGCUAGACUUGAAUUAUUAGGAAGUAGCUAGAAUAUGUAGUGUAGCGGUGAAAUGCUUAGAGAUUACAUGGAAUACCAAUUGCGAAGGCAGGUUACUACUAAUUGAUUGACGCUGAUGGACGAAAGCGUGGGUAGCGAACAGGAUUAGAUACCCUGGUAGUCCACGCCGUAAACGAUGGAUACUAGCUGUUGGGAGCGAUCUCAGUGGCUAAGCGAAAGUGAUAAGUAUCCCACCUGGGGAGUACGUUCGCAAGAAUG